This 630-nucleotide ribosomal RNA is filed under the name Triticum aestivum (bread wheat). Its description in RNAcentral is "partial small subunit ribosomal RNA". The record is from RNAcentral. Lineage: Eukaryota; Viridiplantae; Streptophyta; Magnoliopsida; Poales; Poaceae.
AUGAAGUUCGCAGCCCUGGGCAGCAACAUCAUCGCCACGAGCAACAUACACGCCGGAACCCUCUUCUACGACACUGACACCGCCGGACUGGUCGUCGGCCCUCCCAUUCCAGACGAACUGUUUUGUGGCUCCAACAUCUUCCUGACCUCCGGCACCAGUGACGCGCUGUUCGCGUUCUCCUUCCACUUCAUGGAGCGGCCUGUGUACUUUAUGGCGAUGGUGAAGCCGCUGAUGACAGAAGACAAUGACCUGCUGCCCACCGACUGGUCCUGGAAAAGCAUGUCGACGCCCUUCAUCAAGGACAAGAUGAUCUUCUACGCGCUGCACCCGGAUGGGCGCACCAUAUUCGUGUCCUCGUGGAGCAGGGCGGUCUGCGGCACGUACUUCGUCGACGCCAGGAGUUGCAAGUGGAGGCGCCAUGGGGAGUGGGUGCUGCCUUUCAGAGGCCGAGGCUACUUCGACGCCGAGCUAGACGCAUGGGUCGUGCUGCACGAGGACAGCUACGUCUGCUCCUGCCAGAUCGCCUCCUGCAGCGGCGGCACCACGCAGCAGCCGGAGUGGAAGAUGGCCGAUGAGCAUAGGAUGUGGAUCCCGUGGCAUCAGCUGGAGUUUCGCCUGUGUCGAAUGUGA